RNAcentral lists this ribosomal RNA (270 nucleotides) under uncultured archaeon. RNAcentral's name for it is "partial 16S ribosomal RNA". It matches the Rfam family "Archaeal small subunit ribosomal RNA", at positions 477 to 747 of the family's 1478-position model. The record is from RNAcentral.
CAGCACCUCAAGUGGUCAGGAUGAUUAUUGGGCCUAAAGCAUCCGUAGCCGGCGCUGUAAGUUUUCGGUUAAAUCCAUACGCUCAACGUAUGGGCUGCCGGGAAUACUGCAAAGCUAGGGAGUGGGAGAGGUAGACGGUACUCGGUAGGAAGGGGUAAAAUCCUUUGAUCUAUUGAUGACCACCUGUGGCGAAGGCGGUCUACCAGAACACGUCCGACGGUGAGGGAUGAAAGCUGGGGGAGCAAACCGGAUUAGAGACCCGAGUAGUCC